AACGACUCUCGGCAACGGAUAUCUCGGCUCUUGCAUCGAUGAAGAACGUAGCGAAAUGCGAUACUUGGUGUGAAUUGCAGAAUCCCGUGAACCAUCGAGUCUUUGAACGCAAGUUGCGCCCUAGGCCUUCUGGUCGAGGGCACGUCUGCCUGGGCGUCACGC
Molecule: ribosomal RNA, 162 nt
Filed under: Aquilegia flabellata var. flabellata
Lineage: Eukaryota; Viridiplantae; Streptophyta; Magnoliopsida; Ranunculales; Ranunculaceae
Description: 5.8S ribosomal RNA
Rfam family: 5.8S ribosomal RNA
About the family: 5.8S ribosomal RNA (5.8S rRNA) is a component of the large subunit of the eukaryotic ribosome. It is transcribed by RNA polymerase I as part of the 45S precursor that also contains 18S and 28S rRNA. Functionally, it is thought that 5.8S rRNA may be involved in ribosome translocation.
Source: RNAcentral